GGUUAAGCGACUAAGCGUACACGGUGGAUGCCCUGGCAGUCAGAGGCGAUGAAGGACGUGCUAAUCUGCGAUAAGCGUCGGUAAGGUGAUAUGAACCGUUAUAACCGGCGAUUUCCGAAUGGGGAAACCCAGUGUGAUUCGUCACACUAUCAUUAACUGAAUCCAUAGGUUAAUGAGGCGAACCGGGGGAACUGAAACAUCUAAGUACCCCGAGGAAAAGAAAUCAACCGAGAUUCCCCCAGUAGCGGCGAGCGAACGGGGAGCAGCCCAGAGCCUGAAUCAGUGUGUGUGUUAGUGGAAGCGUCUGGAAAGGCGCGCGAUACAGGGUGACAGCCCCGUACACAAAAAUGCACAUGCUGUGAGCUCGAUGAGUAGGGCGGGACACGUGGUAUCCUGUCUGAAUAUGGGGGGACCAUCCUCCAAGGCUAAAUACUCCUGACUGACCGAUAGUGAACCAGUACCGUGAGGGAAAGGCGAAAAGAACCCCGGCGAGGGGAGUGAAAAAGAACCUGAAACCGUGUACGUACAAGCAGUGGGAGCACGCUUAGGCGUGUGACUGCGUACCUUUUGUAUAAUGGGUCAGCGACUUAUAUUCUGUAGCAAGGUUAACCGAAUAGGGGAGCCGAAGGGAAACCGAGUCUUAACUGGGCGUUAAGUUGCAGGGUAUAGACCCGAAACCCGGUGAUCUAGCCAUGGGCAGGUUGAAGGUUGGGUAACACUAACUGGAGGACCGAACCGACUAAUGUUGAAAAAUUAGCGGAUGACUUGUGGCUGGGGGUGAAAGGCCAAUCAAACCGGGAGAUAGCUGGUUCUCCCCGAAAGCUAUUUAGGUAGCGCCUCGUGAAUUCAUCUCCGGGGGUAGAGCACUGUUUCGGCAAGGGGGUCAUCCCGACUUACCAACCCGAUGCAAACU
Molecule: ribosomal RNA, 913 nt
Filed under: Escherichia coli
Lineage: Bacteria; Pseudomonadati; Pseudomonadota; Gammaproteobacteria; Enterobacterales; Enterobacteriaceae
Description: partial 23S ribosomal RNA
Rfam family: Bacterial large subunit ribosomal RNA
Source: RNAcentral